This is a long non-coding RNA of Carassius auratus (goldfish), 1176 nucleotides long. RefSeq lists it as uncharacterized. Lineage: Eukaryota; Metazoa; Chordata; Actinopteri; Cypriniformes; Cyprinidae. The record is from RefSeq and is a predicted model, not a curated record. The transcript is spliced from 2 exons.
UGAUUGCCUUCUGCUGCUCUGCGUCCACAGAUUCUGGGACUACUCCAAGAACCAGCCGCUGCUGGAGACACUGGAGCACCACUCGGAGUUUGUGUGUGGCCUGGAUUUCAACCUGCACAUCCCUAACCAGGUUGUGGACUGCUCUUGGGAUGAGACUGUAAAAGUCUUCACCCCUUCAUGCCUAGCUGCCCUGUAGGAGGUUGGUGCACCAUGGAAAGAUGCUGGGGCAAAGCACAGGGGAGCCGCAGCUAUGUUUCAAUCACAGGUGCAGAGUUUGCCAAGAUUUCACUGCAGAUUUCCUAAUGAUGCUAUUAAAGGAGAACCCAUGGGAUGCAUCAGGAGCAUUGCAUCAGGGGCGCUGUACAGAUGAGGGGCAAUCUCAUGCUGUCACUGAGUGUAAAAACUGUGUGUGAUGUUGUUAUAGGGUUUCUUAAAUCUGUAAUGAAACUAAAAGUUUACCUUAAAGGGAUAGCAAAAAAAAGGACAAUUCUGUCAUUAAUUAAUCACCCUCAUUUCAUUCCAUCGUUCAUCUUCAGAACUGAAAUUAAGGACAGUGGUAAAACAGUCCACGUGGAAUCAGUGGUUCAACUGUAAUUUUUAUGAAGCUCCAAGAAUACUUAAAAUACAAUUUAAAAAAAUGACUUUAUUCAACAGUCCCUCUCCUCCAAAAUCACGUCUUCCGCCAUUUUCGAGAGUACCUCUGCAUAAACAGAAACAAUGCAUACACGUGAUGCUGAUGAUGUACAACGCACAUGAGCUGAGCCUUGUUUAUGUGCAGGGGAAAGCAAUGCACAUUCGUUGUGGUACUCUCAAUAAUGGUGGAAUACAUGAUUUGGAGGACAAGAAUUAUUAAAUAAAGUUGUUAAUUUGCGCACAAAAAGUAUUAUCAUAGCUGGGGUAUUAUCAUGUGGUCUGGGGACAUUUCAGUUAUACAUGAAUGUCAAUGCAGGGUCAUAAAGCUCUUGGAUUUCAGCCAAAAAUAUUUAAAUUUGUGUUCCGAAGAUGAAUGAAGGGCUUAUGGGUUUUUCACGACAUAGUUUUUGGGUGAACUAUUCGUUUACGCAGCGAGUGCCUUGUUUCUGAAGUGCAUUGGAAGAUUAUGUAGUAUGUACAUGUUGUUCCUUACUGGUUUGUUAAACUGAUAUUAAUAAAUCGAUGCAAUCUGUCAUUCUCAAC